GGCCGAGUAGUUCAGUUGGUUAGAAUGCCAGCCUGUCACGCUGGAGGUCGAGGGUUCGAGCCCCUUCUCGGUCGCCA
This 77-nucleotide transfer RNA is filed under the name Clostridia bacterium. Its description in RNAcentral is "tRNA-Asp". It matches the Rfam family "tRNA". From Rfam's summary of the family: Transfer RNA (tRNA) molecules are approximately 80 nucleotides in length. Their secondary structure includes four short double-helical elements and three loops (D, anti-codon, and T loops). Lineage: Bacteria; Bacillati; Bacillota; Clostridia. RNAcentral also lists the same sequence under 2 other names. The record is from RNAcentral.